This 498-nucleotide ribosomal RNA is filed under the name uncultured Glomeromycotina. Its description in RNAcentral is "partial small subunit ribosomal RNA". It matches the Rfam family "Eukaryotic small subunit ribosomal RNA", at positions 591 to 1092 of the family's 1831-position model. The record is from RNAcentral. Lineage: Eukaryota; Fungi; Glomeromycota.
CCAAUAGCGUAUAUUAAAGUUGUUGCAGUUAAAAAGCUCGUAGUUGAAUUUCGGGCUUAGUACGCUGGUCGUGCCUUCGGUAUGUACUGGUGUUACUGGUUCCUACCUUCUGACGAACCGUCAUGUCAUUAAUUUGGUGUGGCGGGGAAUCAGGACUGUUACUUUGAAAAAAUUAUAGUGUUUAAAGCAGGCUCGCGCUUGAAUACCUUAGCAUGGCAUAAUGGAAUAGGACGUUCGAUCCUAUUUUGUUGGUUUCUAGGAUUGACGUAAUGAUUAAUAGGGAUAGUUGGGGGCAUUAGUAUUCAAUUGUCAGAGGUGAAAUUCUUGGAUUUAUUGAAGACUAACUACUGCGAAAGCAUUUGCCAAGGAUGUUUUCAUUAAUAAAGAACGAAAGUUAGGGGAUCGAAGACGAUCAGAUACCGUCGUAGUCUUAACCAUAAACUAUGCCGACUAGGGAUCGGAUGAUGUUAUUUUUAAUGACUCAUUCGGCGCCUUACG